UACGUAGGUGACCAGCGUUGUCCGGAUUUACUGGGCGUAAAGAGCGCGCAGGCGGUCGUUCAAGUCGAGUGUGAAAGCCCCCGGCUCAACUGGGGAGGGUCACUCGAUACUGAUCGACUCGAAGGCAGGAGAGGGAAGUGGAAUUCCUGGUGUAGCGGUGAAAUGCGCAGAUAUCAGGAGGAACACCGGUGGCGAAGGCGGUUCUCUGGGCAUUACCUGACGCUGAGGAGCGAAAGUGUGGGGAGCGAACAGG
This 253-nucleotide ribosomal RNA is filed under the name uncultured bacterium. RNAcentral's name for it is "partial 16S ribosomal RNA". It matches the Rfam family "Bacterial small subunit ribosomal RNA", at positions 524 to 776 of the family's 1533-position model. The record is from RNAcentral.